RNAcentral lists this ribosomal RNA (253 nucleotides) under uncultured prokaryote. RNAcentral describes it as "partial 16S ribosomal RNA". It matches the Rfam family "Bacterial small subunit ribosomal RNA", at positions 524 to 776 of the family's 1533-position model. The record is from RNAcentral.
UACGGGGGGGGCAAGCGUUGUUCGGAAUUACUGGGCGUAAAGGGCGCGUAGGCGGUUCGCUAAGUUGAAUGUGAAAACUCUGGGCUUAACCCAGAGCCUGCAUCCAAAACUGGCGAACUGGAGUACUGGAGGGGAAAGCGGAAUUCCUGGUGUAGCGGUGAAAUGCGUAGAUAUCAGGAGGAACACCGGUGGCGAAGGCGGCAUCCUGGACCGGUAUUGACGCUGAGGCGCGAAAGCUAGGGGAGCAAACGGG